ACUUCUGGGGGAAAUUGAAGCCCAGGGUGUCACAGCAAGCUUGUGCGGGAGAUACCCAAGGUCCCAGGCUUCCUGAUGUCUAACCAGCAUCCUCAAAGCUGCCACAGCUGGCUGCUCCUCCACCACAAGGCACCAGCACACACGGAGCCCAGGCUUGCACAUGCCCUAUGUGAAUGGGGGUCAGAGGAGGCUGUGCGAGGCCCCAGGUGGAGAGAAGCAAGAAUAGGAUGGAGCCGCAAGAUGUUUCUUUCUGCUGUGUCUUCCUCAGCUCCUGAGCCCAGGGCAGGGCUGGAGCCAGGGAGGGCAUCUCUAUGGCAAGAGGAGAUGGCAUCAAAGAUGAAAGGAAACGCAAGGAGAACAGACCAGAAGAUGGCCUCCAUGACAUGACGGGAGCUGUAAAUCAGAGAACCUGGAGAGAUGGAGCCGCAGACCUGGACUGAGUGCUGACACGCAGCCAGGUUGCCAUAAAGGAGCUGUGCCAGGAGGGACCCUGACAAUUGCACCCCAUAAACUCCAGUGGGUCUACUGUAAAUAGAGCACGCUUCAGCGGCAGUGUCCUGAGGCCACCCCUGGGAGCCAUAGCACUUGUGUUUGCCAACAGAGCAGCCACAGCUCCAUGGGGGACAGGUCUGGUCCAGGGCCAGGCAGGGCAGUAGCUUCCUUCCAGCUCAGCCUCCUCCCCACUCAGUCCCCCACCUGAAGUGGGCAAGCAGGAAGGGGAGCCAGGGUUGUGGGGAUGCCGUGGGGCCCAUAUACAGCCAAAGUCCCCCCACCCCCGCCCGGAGACAGAAAUGGCAGGCACAGUAAACCCAGGGUGCUGAGGUUUUCUGUUGUGCCUCCCAUGGUGACAGGCUUACCAGGGCCUGGACUACACUGAGGCGAGUGAGGCACUCACCUCGGUGCAAAAUGUAAGGGGGUGCCAGAAAAGUCAGCAAUCAAGACAGGUAAGACUAUUUAACACACUACUUAAGAAAAUAAAAGCGAACACCAAAAAGUCCACGAAGAACAAAAUAUCGAAAUUUUAAGUAAAGACAGGAUUCGGUGCAGUGCCGUGCCUUGUCGUACUGAA
Equus caballus (horse) is the source of this 1069-nucleotide non-coding RNA. The record is from RefSeq and is a predicted model, not a curated record. NCBI's taxonomy places the organism in Eukaryota, Metazoa, Chordata, Mammalia, Perissodactyla, Equidae.